GGCUCCUUGGCCAAGCGGCAAGGCACCAGUCUUGUAAACUGGGGAUCGCGAGUUCGAUCCUCGCAGGGGCCA
Molecule: non-coding RNA, 72 nt
Organism: Planoprotostelium fungivorum
Lineage: Eukaryota; Evosea; Variosea; Cavosteliida; Cavosteliaceae
Source: the annotation of a GenBank genome assembly